AGACAGAGAAAAAGAGAAAACAACAACAAAAAUGAAGCAAGAGUAAACUGCCAACUCCAACUGCCUUUCUGGAAGGCCUAAUUUGAAGAUGUCUGAAAUUCUGUAUCACUGGCUCCCAGACAUAUCAUGUUUAUUUGUACAUCACACCUUUGCCCACCUCUGCUCAGUGGACCUCCAGCCUAAAAUGCCUCCCUUGUUCCUCUGUCUCACUUCAGGCUGUUAUUGAAGUCUCCUGGUACAAUGUGACAUUUCCAGCGUCUUGUUUUCCAAUCAGAUCAGUGGCUCUCAGUGGACCAACUGAUAAGGAACAUUUGGAAAAUGUUACGAUGAUUGAGGGCUGUACUGGUAUUUGGUGGGCAGGGAAUGACAAUGUCCUGUGAUGUAUCCAUCAUAAUGGAAAAUUAUCUGAUGUCUUGGGCAAAUAACAGCAGUCCUGCCAGACAAAAUGAAGGUGAAAAAUUCAUUUAUAAUUGCCUAAGUUCAGAGCUUCUCUCUGUUUUACAUACAAGUACAAGAAAUGUUUGGCACAGUUUUAAUGUAUACUGAAUUAUAGGAAUCCAAUUACAAUAUAUUUUGCUUAACAUAGACAUCUGCUAAGAAUUAUUCAUCAUUUUGUAGAUCACAGCACUACGUAACUGCUUCAGAGAUAUAAUAAAACUCAUCAGUCUUCCUUAGCAUCUGUAGGUCAGUCAUCUCACAUCUCACAGCUUCUUCUGCCUUCUGGUAUAUUUGUGUAUGAAUGUUUAUAUACUACAACAAAUAGCAUUUUUAUAAAUUCCUUUUAUUUACUUUAUAAUCAGGACAUAACAUUACUUUUAAAAGUUAUAUGUAGGUUAAAUUACAUUAUUAAUAAAUUUCAUUGUUUUAGUGUAGCAAGACAAUGUUACAAAAUAUUUCUUUAAAACCAAGAAGGGGCAUUGAGCCUGGGAGUUGAGAACUAUAGAACCAUAUUGUAUGCAUUCAUGGGAGAAAACGACUGGAAAGGGGACAAGGUGAAGUGGAAAACUAGAAUGUAU
This 1016-nucleotide long non-coding RNA is filed under the name Homo sapiens (human). RNAcentral's name for it is "long non-coding RNA NONHSAT209229.1". The record is from RNAcentral. Lineage: Eukaryota; Metazoa; Chordata; Mammalia; Primates; Hominidae.